Molecule: ribosomal RNA, 274 nt
Filed under: uncultured bacterium
Lineage: Bacteria
Description: partial 16S ribosomal RNA
Rfam family: Bacterial small subunit ribosomal RNA
Source: RNAcentral
AUACGGGGGGUGCAAGCGUUAUUCGGAUUUAUUGGGCGUAAAGGGCGCGUAGGCGGCUUGGAAAGUCAGAUGUGAAAGCCCGGGGCUCAACCCCGGAAGUGCAUUUGAAACUAUCAGGCUUGAGUAUGGGAGAGGGAAGUGGAAUUCCUGGUGUAGAGGUGAAAUUCGUAGAUAUCAGGAGGAACACCGGUGGCGAAGGCGACUUCCUGGACCAAUACUGACGCUGAGGCGCGAAGGCGUGGGGAGCAAACAGGAUUAGAAACCCCUGUAGUCC